RNAcentral lists this ribosomal RNA (135 nucleotides) under Uncultured bacterium HZ_04C. Its description in RNAcentral is "partial 16S ribosomal RNA". It matches the Rfam family "Bacterial small subunit ribosomal RNA", at positions 355 to 507 of the family's 1533-position model. The record is from RNAcentral.
UGGGGAAUAUUGCACAAUGGAGGAAACUCUGAUGCAGCGACGCCGCGUGAGCGAUGAAGGCCUUCGGGUCGUAAAGCUCUGUCCUAUGGGACGAUAAUGACGGUACCAUAGGAGGAAGCCCCGGCUAACUACGNG